UAACCUGCCCAAGAGAUCGGGAUAACACCUGGAAACAGAUGCUAAUACCGGAUAACAACAGAUGAUGCCUAUCAACUGUUUAAAAGAUGGUCCUGCUAUCACUCUUGGAUGGACCUGCGGUGCAUUAGCUAGUUGGUAGGGUAACGGCCUACCAAGGCGAUGAUGCAUAGCCGAGUUGAGAGACUGAUCGGCCACAUUGGGACUGAUACACGGCCCAAACUCCUACGGGAGGCAGCAGGG
Molecule: ribosomal RNA, 240 nt
Filed under: uncultured Lactobacillus sp.
Lineage: Bacteria; Bacillati; Bacillota; Bacilli; Lactobacillales; Lactobacillaceae
Description: partial 16S ribosomal RNA
Rfam family: Bacterial small subunit ribosomal RNA
Source: RNAcentral